RNAcentral lists this long non-coding RNA (577 nucleotides) under Androctonus crassicauda. The record is from RNAcentral. Lineage: Eukaryota; Metazoa; Arthropoda; Arachnida; Scorpiones; Buthidae.
UAAUUAUGAUAAUUAGACAUAAGCAUUUCAUUUAAACAGAGAAGAAACUGAUAGACUGACAGGGCGCACAUGUUUUUUAAAGGAAUAGGACAUAUACAGUGCAAUACGUUUAUAGCGAAACGAUUAAGACCGGAAAAUUUUGAACAACCUAUGCUUAAAAUAUAUGUUAUAUGUAUGGUUUUUGAGAUCUUACAGAGGAGAAAAAAUGUAUAUUUAUAUAUAGGGGCCCCAAAGCCUAGUUCAUACCGGGGGCCGGGAUUUCUCUCGGCGUCACUGCAUCUGGGCUAACUCAAUUUCAAUACUUAGCUGUUCAAUUGCAUUAGGGAGACCUAUAUAUAUUUAUACAGAUAUGAGACUCUCAUCCGGCAAUUUUAGAAAUGAAACACGUAAUCCCAUAGAAUUGUCGGAUAACUUUUUAGGAGGAUAUUUACAAUUAGCCCAUGAUACAUUUACAAACAAUACACCAGUCAGAGUCUGUUACAUAACAAUCACUAUAGUGCAGUUUUAUCAAACAUAUUAUACCCUCCUUCAUUUAAACCUACAAAUAGGUCUUUUGCCUCGUUACAUUUAGAUUACA